CUUUUUUUUUUUCUUCAAAUAUGAUUUUCACCAAGAGAAUUCUGGGUUUGUGUUAUUUAUGUAUAGGAAACUUUUUAUCCACUUAGCAUUGCUGAGAUUGCUGGAUAGUGAUGAGUUCCUAAUGAUUUGGAGAGAGAUGCUAUGUAAUGAAAAUAUCAUCAUAAAUUGUUGAUCUUUUACAUCGGAUCAAUGACUAUACCUAUGUUUUCCUUGCCAAGUAUCCAUCUUAGAUUGUCAAGUGGUUGUGUGUCUCCUCUCUGUGUGCAUGUGUGUUUAUAUACUUUAGUUUAGCUGUCAGUGUAUUAUAAUUUUGGCACCACAUACAUACCAAAGAUACAAUUUACUGCUGUAUUUUCUUUCUUAAUAAUGAUACAACUUGUUCCAGCCCUAUUUGGGCGUGGAGAGAAUGAAGCUAAAUAAUCAUGAGUCAACUAAUUUUUCUCAUUCUGGCUUUAGUUUUGUGAACAUGAUAUUGCAUGCGACAGACUAUGUGCUCUUCAUAUUGCUAAUGUUCUAGUUUAUUCUGUUUGAUACUUUGUAUGUAUGUCCAUUGUGAUGUGGUAUUGUUAAAUAUAAAAGUGUGGAGAAAGAUAUGUAUGAUUGUGAAUAUACCGACAAUAACAUGCUAGGUGGGGAAUUGUUGGUUCCUGUGUUUGUUUAUUUGGAUGAAAAAUUCCAAAUGAUGGAACUCUGAAAGCUUGUUAUUUAUGCUAGCUAUUGUGAUCAGCUUAGUAGUAGUUUUCCUGAUUGUAUUUUAUUUCUUGUUUGGUAAUUUCCAGUAUAAGAGAAUACUGCAAUGAGUGUUCAUUUGCUGUAUAUGUAUCAGAUGAGAAGAUGCAAUCACUUUCUCAUUGGUUUGGCUUACACUUUUGUCCUGAGACUGAUAGAUCUUUUAUGUUCCUGUUGAGAUUUAUUCUGUUGCAUAACUACUCUGUCUCAUAUUGUGCAAUUGGAUUUUGGAGUAUCGGUUUCUAAUCUCUCUCAUGACUGAUUUCAUAAUGUAUUAGA
RNAcentral lists this unclassified non-coding RNA (1008 nucleotides) under Hevea brasiliensis (rubber tree). The record is from RNAcentral. Lineage: Eukaryota; Viridiplantae; Streptophyta; Magnoliopsida; Malpighiales; Euphorbiaceae.